Molecule: ribosomal RNA, 497 nt
Filed under: uncultured bacterium
Lineage: Bacteria
Description: partial 16S ribosomal RNA
Rfam family: Bacterial small subunit ribosomal RNA
Source: RNAcentral
GAUGAACGCUGGCGGCGUGCCUGACACAUGCGAGUCGAGCGAACGGACGAGAAGCUUGCUUCUCUGAUGUUAGCGGCGGACGGGUGAGUAACACGUGGAUAACCUACCUAUAAGACUGGGAUAACUUCGGGAAACCGGAGCUAAUACCGGAUAAUAUUUUGAACCGCAUGGUUCAAAAGUAAAAGACGGUCUUGCUGUCACUUAUAGAUGGAUCCGCGCUGCAUUAGCUAGUUGGUAAGGUAACGGCUUACCAAUGCAACGAUGCAUAGCCGACCUGAGAGGGUGAUCGGCCACACUGGAACUGAGACACGGUCCAGACUCCUACGGGAGGCAGCAGUAGGGAAUCUUCCGCAAUGGGCGAAAGCCUGACGGAGCAACGCCGCGUGAGUGAUGAAGGUCUUCGGAUCGUAAAACUCUGUUAUUAGGGAAGAACAUAUGUGUAAGUAACUGUGCACAUCUUGACGGUACCUAAUCAGAAAGCCACGGCUAACUACGUG